GCUGGCUCUCCGGCGUCAGGCACCAACUCCCCAAGACCUGUAGAAUUCCCGGCCAGGAAGACAACUCAGCAGACUCCCGAGCUGCUCCUCCUCGGCGGGAAUCCCUGGCCAAGUCUCUGAGAGCAACACAACACACUGCGCCAUCGACGAGAUGGAACUCACCCGAAGGGGAAGCAUCGAGAGAGGGAGAAAGACAGAAAAAGAAGGGGAGAAAUACACGUGAUAUCAACGUAUUGAACCAGCGCGCGAGAGAGGGCCGGGGCAGAGAGAGGGAGAGGGAGAGAGAGAGAGAGAGAA
This is a long non-coding RNA of Ornithorhynchus anatinus (platypus), 297 nucleotides long. RefSeq lists it as uncharacterized. NCBI's taxonomy places the organism in Eukaryota, Metazoa, Chordata, Mammalia, Monotremata, Ornithorhynchidae. The transcript is spliced from 3 exons. The record is from RefSeq and is a predicted model, not a curated record.